ACCUUCUACCAGAUAUUCGCUGGAUCCUCUACCAUGUCCAGUGAAAGACAAGUGCAAGGGAGAGCAAGUGCAUGUGGCAAUCAAAGCGAGUGAUUUGUGCAAUUAAAGUUGCCAUUGCUAUUUGAGGCUACAUCGACAUU
Molecule: small nucleolar RNA, 140 nt
Filed under: Drosophila virilis
Lineage: Eukaryota; Metazoa; Arthropoda; Insecta; Diptera; Drosophilidae
Description: snoRNA:GJ25492
Source: RNAcentral